RNAcentral lists this ribosomal RNA (412 nucleotides) under Peripatopsis capensis. RNAcentral describes it as "SSU rRNA". It matches the Rfam family "Eukaryotic small subunit ribosomal RNA", at positions 991 to 1403 of the family's 1831-position model. The record is from RNAcentral. Lineage: Eukaryota; Metazoa; Onychophora; Udeonychophora; Euonychophora; Peripatopsidae.
CAGAGGUUCGAAGGCGAUCAGAUACCGCCCUAGUUCUGACCGUAAACGAUGCCACCUGAGAACAGACAGGGUUACUACCAUGACUCGGCGGGCAGUCCCCGGGAAACCCAAGCCUUCGGGUUCCGGGGGAAGUAUGGUUGCAAAGCUGAAACUUAAAGGAAUUGACGGAAGGGCACCACCAGGAGUGGAGCCUGCGGCUUAAUUUGACUCAACACGGGGAACCUCACCCGGCCCGGACACCGCGAGGAUUGACAGAUUGAGAGCUCUUUCUCGAUUCGGUGGGUGGUGGUGCAUGGCCGUUCUUAGUUGGUGGAGCGAUUUGUCUGGUUAAUUCCGAUAACGAACGAGACUCUAGCCGGUUAAGUAGCCCGAGCGGUUUUUGAUCUUUGCCGUUCAUCCCCGUUCGACCUUU